UAGCUCCUCGUGAUGCUCUUUUAGAGCUCAAAAUAUCUCUGAACUUUAGACAUAAUAAGGCAGAGUAGAAAUGUUUGAUGAAUCUUAUCUCCAAGAUUUGUCUUGAAUUACAAUUAAGACAUUCACUCCAGUGGAAAUACACCAUCCAAUUAGGCAGGUCUGGUGAAUCGUUUGUUUAAAAUAUAAGCAAAUGAGAUAAAGAAUUUUCAGAUUUCUCCAGACUGUGCUCUAAUGAAAAUGUCACCUGGGUGAAGUUUUAGAUCAAUUACUAAAUUUGGGUGACAGAUGAAAACGUAUUUUCAUUUCACUUUAAUUGGGUUCUUCUGUGGAGUUAAAUAGGUUUUCUUUCUCAAAAAGGAAAAUACGAAUGUCAUCAAAGUUGAAAGAAUACAUUUCAACCAUAAGUGAUAUAAAUACUUGUAUUCUUUACCACAUUUUUCUAUCAACUCUAAAAGUCACACCACUGUGACCUUUAUCAUGUUUACAAUUGCAACUCAACUUACGACAAAUUAUCUCAGGAAAUAAACUGAGUUAUCUUUUCUGGCAUUAUAAUUAUCUUCAGCAAGGUCUGAGGUAGCCAGAGCUGAUACUAGCCAAGUGAUUUAUUUUCAAGGACUGCAACUAAGUUCUUUAGGUCCUGUUUUACUGAAAAAAAUCAUUAGACUAGGGCAUCAGUAACUUGUUAAUUAUUAAUAAUGGACUUUCAAUGACUUUUGUGGAAGAAGUUGGUCUCGGCCAUAGACUGGUGGACCUAAUUCACACUACAAAAGCCAAUGUUACAAUGAACCAAGAUUAAUGACACUCCUAAUGGGGAGGGGCCUGGAAGUGUGUUCUUCAGGACAGACCAGAUGGUGCCAUCUAACACAGCCCCUUCAUAUAGCAAUGGAAACGUGGGGAAGACAGCGGAGAAAGUUUAUUGCUCCCUACUCCUCCAGCUUGUCCAAUUUAAUGAGUAGAGGAAUAGAGAACAAACAUGACAGUUUUUUUCAAUUUCAUAGAAAAGAAUGGUUUGUCCAUUAAUUUUUUCAUUCAAUGACUAUUUAUUGAGCACUUACUCUUUCUAGGGCACUGUGCUAGGCACUGGAGUGUAUAAGAAAAAUAUCAGAGAUAAAUUAUAUUCUCAGUGCUAUUCUGACACAAUGCGUGACCUUGGAAAAUUUACUAAACAUACUAUGCUUGUUUUCCCAUAUGUAAAAAAGGGAUUUCAAAGCAAACAACCCAAUACCUUACAGAUAUACUGUGGGUACUGACAAAAUAUCUAAUAUGGAUAUGACAUCAAAAUAAAGUUCUGAAAUAAUACUUUUGGACGUGGCACUAAUUUUCCCUUUGAGUGCUUUUCUAUAUUAUACUCUUGUUUCUUUCACUCUCAUUAUAAAAACUAUUUGAUAAAAAGUAAAAUAUGACAAUUUAUUGUAAUAAAUUAGAUAAUCCAAUUAUGAUGUAAACAACAUUAAUAAUAAUUGUUAAAGUUUAUCUGCUUAAAGUUACAGUGAUGAUAGCCCUUGAAAAAUAUUGACUAAAUGCUCAUCUAUUUGUAUAGUUCCAACAAAUAAAGUAUUUCUAGUCCUUUCAAGUUGACGCUUUACAUUUUAAAAGGAAAAGAUAAAUGGUUGGUUAAAAGUCUUUGUCUUUAAUAGUUCGUGCAUAAUUCACAUCAUAUUGGUCACGAAUAGGUAGGCGUUUAAUAAUUGUUUUUAGUUCUCCAUUUUGUCCCAUUGGUAUGAGCUACCCACCCCAACCCUCUACUCCCGCCCGCACUUCAACUCCUUUUAAUAGAUGGUCUAGAGAAGAUAAAUAACUUGAUUUAGGGUUUUUGAUUUAUGUUUACUUUUCAUAAAACCUGAUAAAUCAUCAUUUAAUCAGAGCAAAUCUUUUUUGGAAUAAUUCCCUAAAAAGCACCUGUAUAGUGAUUCAUUCCAGUAUAUCCCUGUCAAAACUCCUCCCAGAAAUAUUUUGGAAACUGAAACCGUAUAUCUGGGGAUUCAGAUUAUUUCCUUGAGUUAUUUUACUUGGAAAAAGCAAGGAGAAUAAUGACUAUCAUUGCUGAUAGAAAACUCAGGAGCCAUCUGGCCCAGCUUGCACGUGCAGAAAAUGAACCUAACCCCUAGAGAAAAGCAUAAGUUUGACCAAAGUCACUAAUUGUGUCAAAGCCAUGCCUAAAACCUUGGCCAGCUGGCUCCCAAAUGCCUUUAGCAACAACUUCAGAGUGUUGUUAUAGACCUUGGCUAAUUUACCCAGCAUCUCAAAACCCAUUUUUUGAAUUACAAUCACUGUGGAAAGACUCACUUUUUUCUACAUGAGAGAUGAAAAGGACCUUAAGAGUGAGUCUCAGGGCUGGCCUGGUGGUGUAGUGGUUAAGCUUUUGUGCUCCACUUGGGUGGCCGCCCGGGGUUCGCCAGUUUGGGUCCUCGGGGAGCACCUGCACACCACUCAUCAAGCCAUGCUGAGGCAGCGUCCCACAUAGAAGAACUAGAAGGACUUACAACUAGGAUGUACAGCUAUGUACUGGGGCUUUCGGGAGGGGAAAAAGAGAGAAAGAUUGGCAACAGAUGUUAGGGCCAAUUUUCCUCACCAAAAAUGCAUAUCUUAAAAAAAAAAAGUGAGUCUCAUUCAUUUGCUUUAGAUAUAAAGAAAAUGAAUCUCUGAGAGGUUAGGUGACAAGCCCAGGGUCACAGUGCAAGUUAGUAGCAGAACUAGACUGAGAACUCAAAUCUUCUGUUUUCUAGUCCAGGGCAUCUUCCCCACCCUGUGUGACUCCGUAUGAUGUCUCCACCAUCAUAAGUUCCCUCUGUCACGUGCAAAUUCUGUAAGACAUGGAAACCCAGCACGACUUUCCAGGAACUGGCCUCCUGACGACACUCUUUGCUCUACGUCUUUUGGACCUCUACUACUGUUGUCCUGUACAUUUUCCCCUCGUUAAUCAUAUAUUGUGCAUAAAACAUUUAGAUAUUCCUGUAGAUGAUUUUCUUUGUGUAUAAAAAAUAAAUAGCUGUAUUUUUGUACACUACUUAACUUAAAAAAUGUUAUGUCACUGACACACACCAAAUAUUUGCCCCAAAUAAAAAGAAAACAAAAAACAACUCUCUCUAAAUUAAUCACCAUUUGUCCAAAGAUGUGAGUUAACAAAAUAAGUAAGAAAGACAAUUGUUUACAAAAACACAUUUAAACUCUAAAGGAAUGCUUAGAAUACAUGAUGAUGUAAAUUAGUGCAUAUUAAUAUGUGAGUCAUACAAAUUCCAGUAAGAAGCACGUGUUAGCAAAGUGGGAAUAGCAAAGAAGGAAAUUCUUGGCCUUACACAGCCAUGUUUACCUCCUGACCACGUACCUUCUGCAAGAUCAUCGGUUCCCAUGUCUAUGAUUUGUGUUGAACUUUUAGCUAGAACUAACUGCUUGCAUCAAGUCAUUAGUGCUAUUCUGCUUUUUCCCCCACCACAUCCAAAGUUCUCGUAAAUAAUUUAAUUGUAGGCCAGGAGUAUCUUCUAUGCUUCUGGGUAGAGUUGCCAGGCCAGAUGCGUUCUCAGAACAAAUUCAGAGAGCCCAGUGGAGUAGGGCCCCUCAAACUCAAGGUCAGACUCUAAUUCUAGGAGUAACUUUGGUCAUUUAUCUCUGUCCCUCAGUUCUUCAUCUCUAAAUGAAAAUAAAAGUUCCUAUGGCACAAAGACGUUCAUCUUUGGUGAGGAAAGUUAUGGGAAAGUACAUUGUAAAGUGAUGUUAUUGUUAAGACCUUUCAAAUUCCCUUCUGAUUUUGUUAUGAAAUGGUCCAGCCAUGCCCUGCACUGAAGACCUAGUGCCUAGUGUUGCUAAGAGGCAUGAGCCAAAGCAGCAAAUGGAAACCAGAACCAUAUGAACCAAACAAAAAAUGGCAACAUUGCCAUUGGCAAAAACAAUCUUGUGUUAAAAAAAAUCCACUGCUUUGUGUCAUUUUCAUGGACUUCCUAUAAAUCAGUGACAGCAGAAUAUUUUUCAAACCACUGAAUCAGAACACACAGAGAUUAUAAGAAGCCUGUGGAAAAGUAAUACUCUGAAUGGAAAGCUGAGCUGGAUUACCAACUGACUCAUGUACCUCAAGACACUGCCGUAGAACUGAACACCCAUUAGAAGAUCUGAAGGUAUUUUAGCAAUGUAAGUUAGUGAAGAUAAAGUCAAAAUAAAUACCAACAGUAGCAUCUCAAAACAUAUAGCAUAUGUCUUUGCUUAGGGAAAAAGCAUCUCUCUCUUCUUCUCUCUUGUUCAGAACUCAAUGAUAAAUCAUUUGUACACUUCUGUAUAUUUGAUGCCAUCAUGGACAGAGUCGGGAUGAUCUGAAUGGAAGGUGCAUUCUUUCCAAAGAAGGCAAUAUUUUAUAGAAAAGACAACUGAAUUUCAGUGAUUUGGAAGAACAAUGCAUCAAAUUAUUUUUAUCUUUGAAACAUUUAUGUGUAAAAAAUAUUUUAAAAAUUGGGUCCACUUAUAAAAUAAAUAAGUCAUGGGGAUGUAAUGUAAGGCAUGGUGACUAUAGUUAGUAAUACCGUAUUGCAUAUUUGAAAGCUGCUAAGAGAGUAGAUCUUUAAAGUUUUCAUCACAAGAAAAAAUAUUUUGUUAACUAUGUAUGGUGAUGGAUGUUAGCUAAACUUACUGUGGUGAUCAUUUUGCAACAUAUGCAAUUUCAAAUCACUAUUCUGUACACCUGAAACUAAUAUAAUCUUACAUGUCAAUUACACAUCAAUAAAAAAGUAGAAAGAAAAUCAAAAGUUAUAGAAAAUCUGGACAACACUAUCCCGUAACUUGAUCUAAUUGAUUUGUAAAGAAUACUAUACUCAAAAGCAGUGGAAUACACAUUUUUUCCAAGUGCUCAGGAAACAUUCACUAAGAUAGAUUAUGUAAGAGGCCAUAAAACAAGUCUCAACAACUUAUAAAAAUUGAAACUAUAAUAUAGAGUAUAUUCACUGAAAACAACAGAAUUACAUGAGAAAUCAGUAAGAGAACAUAUCUGGAAAAUAACAAAUUUAUGGAAAUUACACAACACACUUCCAAAUAAUUCAUGGAGAAAGAAGAAUUCACAAAGGAAAAUAGGAAAUAUUUUGCAUUGAAUGAUAAAGAAAACACAGCAUACACAAAACUGUAGGACGCAGUGAAAGUAGAGAUUAGGGGAAAUUCAUGGCUUUAGGUGGUAUAUGAGAAAAUAAGCUUUAGACACCAAUGAGUUUUCUACUAAAUAUGUAAAGAAGAAAUAAUUGCAGUUCUACACAACUUCUUUCAGAUUAAAAGGGAGGGAAUACUUCCCAAUUCAUUCUAUUAAAAAAAUGGGAAUCUAUGAACCUUGUUCAAAGUCAAGAGGUAUCAAAGAUAUACAUGGAAAGUAUCGUCUCACCCCAUCCUUGUGGCCUCAGUUUCCCAUCCACUCCUCUACUCCCCACUAAUCACCUUUAUGGAUUCUAAUAUAUCCAUCCUCUGCAAAUACAAAUGAAAACAAAUAUAUAUUCUCAUUUUGUUACUUUUCUUACACAAACAUUACAUACACAAACAUCAUUCUGUACCUUCCUUUCUUGACUUAAAAAUGCAUCCUGGAUUACUGGUUUAUAUGAAUACAUACAGAGCUUUCCUAUGAAUAUAGACAGACAACAAAACAAAUAGACAGAUAGACAGAUCAAUCUCAUGAACACCUGUCAAGUGUAGAGCUACAUGCAUCUAUGAAAUCACCACCUAGGUCAAGAUAUAGAACGUUAACAGCAUCCCAGAAGCCUCAUUCAUGUCUCACUCAGUCAAUACUCCCUGGAUCACCACUAUUCUGACUUCUACCACCAAAGAAUUAUUUCGAUAGUUUUGUCCUUCAUAUGAAUGAAGUCGUAAAUUACAUAUUUUUGUGUCCAGUUUCUAUUAUGUCUAAUUAACAUUACACAGGUGAAACUCAUUCACUUUGUUGCAUGUAGAAGUAGUUUAUCCUUUUUCAUUGUCUUACAGAUUUAUGUAUGCAUAUACCAAAGAAUUUAUACAUUCUAUUGUGGGUGGGAAUUUGGGCUAUCUCCAGUUUCUGUCUAUAAAAAUAGCACUGCAAUAGAAAUUCUAGUUAGUUUCUUAUAGUGCAUACAUGUAUGCGUGGGUGGUGGGAUCUCUAUAUCUUAGAGGUGAAUUGGUGGCUUAUAGAGUAUGCAAUUGUUCAUUUUUACUAGGUAAUUCCAAAUAACUUUCUAACUGGUUGUAGCAAUGUGCACUCCAACAAUAGAGAACAAAAUUUCCAGCUGCUCCAAACAUUUGCUAAUACUAUUGUCAAUUUUGUUAAUUUUAAUUUCUAGUCUAUGUAGUCGCACAUCAUUAUUCUUAUAAAUUGGAUUUCUGUGAUGACUAAUGAUUUUGAGAACUUUUAAUAUAUUUAUUGAUUAUUUGGACAUCCUGUUCUAUGUAAAGCCAGCUUAAGCUUUGUGGACUUCUGUUAGAUUUUUGUCUUUUUAAAAAAAUAUAGGAAUAUUUUAUAUAGUUUGAUUACAAAUCCUUAAUUCUAUAUAUGUAUUACAAAUGUGUUUUACCACUCUGUGGCUUUCAAUUUUACUCCCUUAAUUGUAUCUCUAUCAAAAAUUUAAAUUUUAAAACAGUCCAAUUUAUUAAUGUUUUUCUUUAUUGAUAAUGCUUAUUAUGUUCAAUUUAAGGAAUUUUUACUUAUGCUAAGACUGUGAAAAUAUUCUCCUAUGAGAAUUUAUAGAUUCUUUAUGUUACCUUUCACUUUAGCUUUAUAAUCCAAAUAGGAUUCAUUUUUUGUGUAUGAUGUGAGGUAGAAGUUGAAGAUUAGUUUUUGCUAUAUGAAUGUAUACAUAAUCUUGAGCCAUCUAUUGGAUAAAACAUCCUUUCUCUACUGCAUUACAGGGAUGUUUUCAUUGUAAAGGAGAGAACUGUAUAUAUGUGGUUCUUUUUUGUGAAUUACUUAUUCAGUCCCAUUGGUCUAUUUGCCUAUCUGUGUGCCAAUACCACCUGGUUUAAUUUUAGUAGCAUUAUAACAAGUGUUGAUAUACUAUAGUGACACGUCCCAAUUUGUCUUCUUCUUCAUAAUGAUUUUCAAUAUCCUUCACUUUAAGAAAUUUUCUCUAUUGGAUACUAUUUUCUAUUUUGUUGUUAUCUUUUUCCAGCUCAAUGGAGGUAUAAUUGACAAAAUUGUAAUAUAUUUAAAGUGUACAAUGCGAUGAUUUUAUAUAUGUAAGUAUUGUGAAAGGAUCCUCACCAUCAAGUUUAUAAUUAACACAUCCAUCACCUCAUAUAUUUACCUUCUUUUUCUUUUCUUCUUCUUCUUUUUUUUUUUGGUGGGAACACAAGUUCUACUCUGUUGGCAGAAUUUUGAUUAUAUGAUACAGUAUUAUCAACCAUAGUCACCAUGCUAUCAUUAGAUCCUUAGACCUUAUUCAUCUCACAACUGAAAGUUUGUAAGUUUUCCCUAUUUCCUGUUUCCAGGAAAGGUACAAAGCAGAGGUGGAUGUGGCACUCUCCCCUGUGUAUUUUUCCUUUUUCUCUAGAAUUUUGGGCUCUUGAUCUCUACCUGCUGUGCUUGCUUUUUUAUUUCUUUAAUUUGUUUAUUCAACUAGUUUUUAUGGUUGCUCUCAGCAAGAGAAUUAGUUUGAUAAAAUUACUGCAGCGUGGUGGUUGAAAGCAAAAUUUCUCCAUAUAUUUUCUUUACAACUGUAUAGUAUUUCAAGGGGUGGAUGUGCCAUCACUUAUUGAGUAGUCUCCUAUUAUAUGGUCACUUAGGUCAUUUCCAAUCGUUUGCUAUUAUUCAUAAUGUUGCAGUAAGUAACGUUGGACACAUUAUAUUACAUAUACACAUAUAUAUCUGUAUGUACGUACACAUGCAUAGGGUAAAUUCCUUGCAGAGGGAUUUCCAAUUCAAAAAUAUACGCAUUUGUAGUUUUGAAAGGGGGUGAUUGUUUCCAGAUAACCUUGUCCUGAGUUAUUGCUCCCUCUGAGGGCUCAGAGUUGUUCACAGCAGUUAACAUUCAGGAUGAGGCUUUCUCCUUAAGGAAAUGAAUGUUUGCUGUUUGUUUUUGAGACCUGCCCAUGCUAGACUUCUCCACACUCUGUGAUUCUGAGCACUGCUUGCAACUGGUCAUAUGGCUUUUGUUGGGAUCACUUGUUUUGACUGCACUUAAACAUAGUUGUGAGUUUUCAUGGGUUUUAUUGUUUCCAAGUUUUACUAGAUAUACAUGAUUUUGGAUCUUUUUAUUUGUUCGUUUGUUUUGUUCUCUUUGUUGUUCCACGUAAUUUCCAGGAAGUGUCAAGAUUUGGAAUUCAACAGCUGCCAUGUUUCUAUUAGAACCAAAAUAAUUUUCAUUUAAAAUAAUAAAAUUAAAGAUUUUUAAAACUAGAAAAUAGAGUUAAAUUGACAGUUCUAAAUGGUAGUACUGCAUUGCUAAUCGUCUAGUGGUAAGUUUUAGGGUGACUGAAAUACAAUAUAUUGCACACAUUUGAAUAAUUAACAGUUAUUUGUCUCUUUUCAAAUAAUAUUUCAAUGUGGAUGAGGAAAUUAACCAUGCUCCUUUCAGGGAUGGGAAAGAAAUUUCAAUUUGUAGCUCUUGCUUACAGAAGUGUGAGAAUAUUAGGCAAAGAUUUUCUAAUUGAUCAUUUUGAAUAACAAAAAUCUGAUGCCUACAUUUCAGAUCUCUGGAAAUAAUGCCAACGUUUAAUCUCAUUAUGAGCCAUAUAAAGAAUAUUUUUAAAAAAUCAGAAGGGCAUGAUUCACAUCAUUAACACCCAUAGCUUUACAACUGUGCCUUUGAUGUGAAAUGGUCUCUGGUCCUUCAUAGUUCAAAAGAAUCCUCGCCUAAAAUCUAUGAAAAAUCACCUCACAUUUCACUUUAUUCAGUUCUGUUGGAGCUUAUAACCCUCUGUCUAGUGGGGUGGGAAAUUAUCACACGCACUUCUAAAGUGACUUGAGCUGGACUGCUUAGCUCUGCUAAAAGCUGUUUAAAAUAAAAAAUCUUAAAAGGACUUCACUUUUUUAUUGAUUUCCAUUCUACUGAAAUUUGCUACUGUUAAAUCCAGUUACAGAAUACUUAUCUUCACCAUUAAUUACAAACUUUUAGGUGAUUGAUUAGGAAUUGGUGAAUAUUGUUAGACUUAUUGGUUACUUUCUUUCACUUUUUACUAUAACAUGAUGCUAAAACCAAAGAAAAAUAAAGGAUAUUUAGUGGGAUGAUUAAUUAGAGCACAUUCUGAGGAACAAUAUAGAAAUUGUGCUGUACAUUUUGUGUAAAGUGGCAAAAAAAUAGCACAUUUUACAUGAAAUGGAAUAUCUACUGCGGAAAAGGAGACCACAACACAGUUUUAUUUUCUGUAAUUUAAUUUCAGUGGUACCAUCUUGAGUCAAGAAAUGGGCAGUCUUUUGAAAUAGAGAAAAUAAUUUUGAAACAGACUGAAAAAUUUUUAUUCAUUGGUUAUGAGCCAAAUUUCUAGUUAUGUAAAGAUAUUUUAGAGUACUUAAUAGAAUAACACUCUAUCCAGAUAAGAAUAAAGAUGUCAGAAUCUUUCUGCAGUAGAUUAACUACUAGACUAUAUUAGUAAUCAAGCUAAUAAUCAAAAAGAUCAAGCUACUAGCUGAUUGUUAAUGAGAAGGUGGUUUCUUUUAUAUAUGGAACAUCAAUUUGAUGAUGACUGGAAUAAGUAACUUUGGUUUUCUCUCAGAAAUAAUUGGUUACGCCAUAUUUUUAAAAAUUUAAUGUUUAAGAAAUUUUGUCUAUUUUAUAUUUCCUGUGUAUAAAAUAAUAUUUAUUUGAAAAAUACAUAGGAAAGUUGUUAUUAACGGGUUUCAGUGCCUAAAGAAAAGCCUAUGUCUGUAACAUACUGUGAUCAUAGAAUUUUGAACUUGAAGAGAUAGUCCUAUAAUUUGACAAAUAGGAUAACUGAAACUCGGAGCAGUUUAUUGACUUGCCCAAGAUCAUAAACUUGUUAAAAGCAGAAGUGAAAUGUGAUGUGAUUUUUGGAUAGUAUAUUCAGUUAGAAAAAUGAAUAUCAGGUAUUCUAUCUAAUUUUACUUUCCAUGACAAUAUUGAUUUAAUAACAUGAGUAUGAUUAAAGAACGUUUGCUAUGUUUUAUGAAAUUUGUUCUUUAAACCAUAUAUUUAUGCAGUGUUUAAGAUGUCCACUGCUUCUUAAAAUUUCUUCAGUUUCUUCUGUUAAAUUUUCUGUUCACUUCUAUUAAACAAUUUAAAUGAUGUGUUCUUCAUUUUAAUCUUUGAAAAAUAAUGCCUUGCUUUUCUAUUGGCCUCAAAUUGUACAUUUUUCUUAAAUAAGCCUUCACAUAGGAGACCUCAAUGAAACACUGUUUUGCAGUAGACAGAUUAUGAGGACAGAAGCCAUGCUAUCUAAUAAUCCACUUGGGAUGAAACUUCAAGUCCCGCUGAAACUCAUUCAAAAAUCAGGAAAGGUUCUCUCAACAUUUGGAAGAUAAGUGCUGUCUUAAAUUGAUAUUUUCAUAUUGAUUUUACUGUGCAAUAAAAGAUUUUUUGUGUGAUUUGGAUCAAAGAAAUGGUUAAACUUUACAUGUUAGCAAUGUUUCUUUGUCCUUUACAAUCUGCAGAGGAAGGUAUUUAGCUUUUUGGGUCAGGGCUCUGACUCAAACUUAAUGAUCUGGGAAAUUAAUAUGUCAAUGUUUUUACUUUAAAAAAUUUUUUUUGCCAUUCUAAUAGGUAUGUAGUUUUAUCUCAUGAUUUUAAUCUGAAUUUCUUUAAUAAUUAAUGACAUUGAAUAUCUUUUCAUAUGUUUCAUAUGUUUAUUUGCCAUUGAUAUAUCUUUUUUGAUUAAGUAUCAAUUCAAAUACAUUGUACUUUGUUUUCUUUUCUUUGGUGAGGAAGAUUGUCCCUGAGUUAACAUCUGUUGCCAAUCUUCCACUUUUUGCUUGAGGAAUAUUUUCCCUGAGCCAACAUCUGCGCCAAUCUUCUAUUUUAUUUGUGGGAUGGCACCACAGCAUGGCUCGAUGAGCAGUGUGUAGGUCUGUGCCUGGAUCCAAACUCGCGAACCCUGGGGCCACUGAAGCAGAGCAUGUGAACUUAACCACUACGCCACUGGGCUGGCCCCUACAUUGUACUUUUUAAAAUUGGGUUGUUUCCUUAGUAUUGAUUUCUGAGUGUUCUGUAUACAUUCUGGAGGCAAGUCCUUUACCAGAAAAGUGUUUUUCAAAUAUUUCCCCUUUGUGUGUCAUGUCUUUUCAUUCUUUUGGCAGUGCCUUUCAAAGAGCAGAUAUUCGAUUUAUCAUUAUUUUCUUUUAUUGAUUGUGCAUUUGGUUACAUCUAAAAAAAGCUUAGCCUUAUCCAAGGUCAUAAAGAAGAUAUUCCACUAUGUUUUCUUCUGCAAGUUUUACAGUUUUGAGUUUUAUGUUUAGGUCUCUGAUCCAUUUGGAAGGAAUUUUUGUAUGUGGCACAAGGCAUGAGUCAGAGUUCAUUUUUUUAAUAUGAAUGUGAAUUAGUCUAUCAUUUGGUGAAACACUAUCUUUUCCUCAUAGAAUUGGUUUUGUAACUUUUUCCAAAAUCAAUUGAUCAUAUAUGUGUGGAUCUAUUAAUGGAAUGCUUUCUCUCUUCUGUUGAUAUCCAUAUAUCUACCAUUAAACUAAUACUACACUAAAUUUGAUUGAUUAAUAUUUGGUUAAAAAUUUGCCUCUGGGUUAACGAGAGAUUACCGAUCUUCAGUAUUUUUUUUUUCCUGUAAUGUCCUUGCUUGAUUUUGGCAUUGAAGUCAUGCUGGCUUUAAAAAAUGAGUAGAAGAGUGAAUCCUUCUCUUCUGUUUUCUUGAAGGAUUUGUGCAGAAUUGGCAUUAUUUCUUUCUUAAAUGUCUCAUAGAAUUCACUAGUGAAGUUAUCUGGGCUGUGAGUUUUGAUCUUGUUGAAAGGAUUUUAACUAAAAAUUCUAUGUUUCAGAUAGAUACAGGAUUGUUCAGGUUAUCAAUUUCUUCUUGUAUGAGUUUUGGUAGUUUCCAUCUUUCUAGGAAUUUGUCCAUUGUAACUAAGUUGUUGAAUUUAUGGACAUAAUGUUGUAAUAUUAUUCCUUCAUUGUUCUUUUAAUGAUGGUACAAUUAAUGGUGAUGAUUUAUUUUUCAUUCCUAAUAUUGGUAAAUUUUAUUCUCUCUCUCAUCAAUCUGGCUAGGAGUUAAUCAAUUUUUUGAUGUUUCAAAAACAGCUUUUGAUUUCAUUAAUUUUCUAUACUGUUUUUCUAUUUUCACUUAUAUCGAUUUCCACUAUAACCUUUAUAAUUUCCUUCCUUCUGCUUACUUUUUGUUUAACUUAUUCUUUUUUUCUUGUUUAUUAAUUUGGAAGCUUAAGCCACUGAUGUAAGACCUUUCUUCUUUUCUAAUAUAAGAAUUUAAUGCUAUAAAUCCACAACUAAACAUUGCCUCAGAUGUAUCCCACAAAUCUUGAUGUGUGUUUUCAUUUUCAUUCAACCCAAAAUAUUUUCUACUUUUCUUUUGAUUUAUUCUUGGGCUCAUGGACUGUUUAGAAAGUUAAUUUCCAAAUAUAUGGGAAUUUUCAUGUAUCUUUCUGUUAUGUAUUUCUAUAUUAAUUCUGUAAUGCUCAGAGAAUAUAAUUUCUAUGAUUUCAAUUUUUUAAAAUUUGUUGAGGUUAUUUAUAUGGCUCAGAAUAUAGCUAUCUCAGUGAAUGUUAUGUGUGCACUUGAAGAGGAUGCAUAUUUGGCUGUUUAGUGAAGUGUUUUAUAAAAUUCAAUUAAGACACGUUUGUUGCUUAUGUUGUUCAGAUUUUCUUCAUCUUUACUAAUGUUUUGUCAAUCUGUCUAAUAAGCUACAAGAAGUUUUGAAAUAUUCAAUUAUAAUUGUGGAUUUUUCUAUUUCUCCUUUUAGUUCUAACGGUUUUGUUUCAUAUUUUAAAGCUCUGUUGUUAGAUACAUGCACAUUUAGGGUUGGCAUGUCCUCCUGAUUGAACUGACCCAUUUAAUGUUACAUAAAGUCUCUAUGACUGCUAAUUUUCCUAGUCUUCAAAUCUAUUUUAUCAGAUAUUCAUACAGAUAUAACAUCUUUCUUUUGAUUAGUCUUUGUGUGUUACAUAUUUUAAAUUUCUUUUUACUUUUAACCUAUAAAUGUCUUUAUAUUUAAAGUGAGUUUCUCAUAGAAAGCAUAUCGUUUUGUCUUGCUUUGUUAUCCAGGCUGACACUCCUUGUAUUUUAAUUGGUAGGUUUACACCAUUCACAUUUAAUGUAAUCAUUGAUGUGAUUGGAUUAAAAUCUACUGUUUUCUGUUUAUUUCAGCUGUUUUUCAUCUCUUUCCUUUUUUCUUUUUUUAAUAGUAAUUUUAUAUUUUUAUAAUUCCAAUUUAUCUUCUCUAUUGGCUUAUUUAUAUUUCUUUUUACAAAUUAUUUUAGUAGUUUUCAAUUGGAUUACAAUAAAGAUCUUUGAUUAAUUACAAUCUACCUUCAAAGAAUAUUUCCCA
Long non-coding RNA from Equus asinus (donkey), 13386 nucleotides. NCBI's taxonomy places the organism in Eukaryota, Metazoa, Chordata, Mammalia, Perissodactyla, Equidae. The record is from Ensembl.